This 75-nucleotide transfer RNA is filed under the name Candidatus Phytoplasma rubi. RNAcentral describes it as "tRNA-Trp". It matches the Rfam family "tRNA". From Rfam's summary of the family: Transfer RNA (tRNA) molecules are approximately 80 nucleotides in length. Lineage: Bacteria; Bacillati; Mycoplasmatota; Mollicutes; Acholeplasmatales; Acholeplasmataceae. The record is from RNAcentral.
AGGGAUAUGAUGUCAACGGCAGCAUAACGGUCUCCAAAACCGAUUGUUCGGGUUCGAAUCCUGAUAUCCCUGCCA